RNAcentral lists this non-coding RNA (80 nucleotides) under unclassified sequences. Its description in RNAcentral is "skipping-rope RNA". It matches the Rfam family "skipping-rope RNA". Rfam says of the family: Firmicutes, Fusobacteria, AlphaProteobacteria, Spirochaetes. The record is from Rfam by way of RNAcentral.
UGCAUUUGAAGUAGAGAGCGUGCUGCUACACACCCACUGGGUCAAAAGAAAUGCGGGAACGGGCACACCCGCCAGAUGCA